AGUCGAACGGCAGCGGGGGUGCUUGCACCUGCCGGCGAGUGGCGAACGGGUGAGUAAUGCAUCGGAACAUGCCCAGUCAUGGGGGAUAACUACGCGAAAGCGUAGCUAAUACCGCAUACGCCCUGAGGGGGAAAGUGGGGGAUCUUAGGACCUCACGUGAUUGGAGUGGCCGAUGUCAGAUUAGCUAGUUGGUGGGGUAAAGGCUCACCAAGGCGACGAUCUGUAGCGGGUCUGAGAGGAUGAUCCGCCACACUGGGACUGAGACACGGCCCAGACUCCUACGGGAGGCAGCAGUGGGGAAUUUUGGACAAUGGGCGCAAGCCUGAUCCAGCCAUGCCGCGUGAGUGAAGAAGGCCUUCGGGUUGUAAAGCUCUUUCGCAAGGGAAGAAAACGGCAGGGUUAAUACCUUUGUCGGAUGACGGUACCUUGACAAGAAGCACCGGCUAACUACGUGCCAGCA
Molecule: ribosomal RNA, 460 nt
Filed under: uncultured bacterium
Lineage: Bacteria
Description: bacterial SSU rRNA
Rfam family: Bacterial small subunit ribosomal RNA
Source: RNAcentral